This 422-nucleotide transfer-messenger RNA is filed under the name Candidatus Saccharimonadota bacterium. It matches the Rfam family "transfer-messenger RNA". Rfam says of the family: Bacterial tmRNA, also known as 10Sa RNA or SsrA, is named for its dual tRNA and mRNA-like properties. RNAcentral also lists the same sequence under 1 other name. The record is from RNAcentral. Lineage: Bacteria; Candidatus Saccharimonadota.
GGGGAUGACACAGCUUUAGACGAAGAGACCUUAACAAUCUGUCCCGCGUGUUGACUAGUGAACACAAUUCACCAUUUUAAUUGCAAAUUCAUUUGUAACAGCAGUUCGUGAUGCUGGUAAGUCUUUUGUUGCUACCCUUCGGGGCGGCUCUGAAGCCUUCCAGUUCGCAACUGCGCCAGCUUUAGUUUAAUCUAGAGCCAUCGGUCGUAUGACGUCAGAUAGUGCGUCGCCGGUGUCAUAUUUAUCUGACUUGGUUUUCUAUGGCUUAUCAGCGUAGAAUUCGACACUUUACUGAUUACGAAUAGUUGGUUUUUUGUUUGUUCUUACAUCCAAUAGUUCGUUAAAUUUUAGAACAAACUACACACGUAGAAGGUCAGAUAGUUACUUUUCGGACGCGGGUGCAAUACCCGCCAUCUCCACCA